UUCCUGGUGGCUCAGACGGUAAAGCGUCUGCCUGCAAUGCGGGAGACCCGGGUUUGAUUCCUGGGUUGGGAA
This 72-nucleotide transfer RNA is filed under the name Ovis aries (sheep). It matches the Rfam family "tRNA". Rfam says of the family: Transfer RNA (tRNA) molecules are approximately 80 nucleotides in length. Their secondary structure includes four short double-helical elements and three loops (D, anti-codon, and T loops). The record is from Rfam by way of RNAcentral. Lineage: Eukaryota; Metazoa; Chordata; Mammalia; Artiodactyla; Bovidae.